This 253-nucleotide ribosomal RNA is filed under the name uncultured bacterium. RNAcentral describes it as "partial 16S ribosomal RNA". It matches the Rfam family "Bacterial small subunit ribosomal RNA", at positions 524 to 776 of the family's 1533-position model. The record is from RNAcentral.
UACGUAGGGGGCGAGCGUUGUCCGGAAUCAUUGGGCGUAAAGCGCGUGUAGGCGGCCCGGUAAGUCCGCUGUGAAAGUCCAGGGCUCAACCCUGGGAUGCCGGUGGAUACUGUCGGGCUCGAGUCCGGAAGAGGCGAGUGGAAUUCCUGGUGUAGCGGUGAAAUGCGUAGAUAUCGUAAGGAAGACCAGUGGCGAAGGCAGGUCUCUGGACAGUUCCUGACGCUGAGGCACGAAGGUCGGGGGAGCAAACGGG